ASGMAUUAGUGGACAACGGGUGAGUAACACGUGAGUAACCUGCCCCUGACUCUGGGAUAAGCGUUGGAAACGACGUCUAAUACUGGAUAUGAUCACUGGCCGCAUGGUCUGGUGGUGGAAAGAUUUUUUGGUUGGGGAUGGACUCGCGGCCUAUCAGCUUGUUGGUGAGGUAAUGGCUCACCAAGGCGACGACGGGUAGCCGGCCUGAGAGGGUGACCGGCCACACUGGGACUGAGACACGGCCCAGACUCCUACGGGAGGCAGCAGUGGGGAAUAUUGCACAAUGGGCGAAAGCCUGASGCAGCAACGCCGCGUGAGGGARGACGGCCUUCGGGUUGUAAACCUCUUUUAGUAGGGAAGAAGCGAAAGUGACGGUACCUGCAGAAAAAGCACCGGCUAACUACGUGCCAGCMGCCGCGGUAAUAMAA
This 428-nucleotide ribosomal RNA is filed under the name Curtobacterium sp. T4-5. RNAcentral describes it as "bacterial SSU rRNA". It matches the Rfam family "Bacterial small subunit ribosomal RNA", at positions 87 to 528 of the family's 1533-position model. Lineage: Bacteria; Bacillati; Actinomycetota; Actinomycetes; Micrococcales; Microbacteriaceae. The record is from RNAcentral.